This is a long non-coding RNA of Equus caballus (horse), 3478 nucleotides long. Lineage: Eukaryota; Metazoa; Chordata; Mammalia; Perissodactyla; Equidae. The record is from Ensembl.
AACAGGCCAGGGGAAGAACUUCAAUGGAAUCUGCCUGUCAGUGCCAGCAGGCCUGGACUAGGUGACAACAGUGGCCACGAGCAAUAUCUCAGUCUCCAGAGAGGUCUGUCCUCUCACCAAGAUGCACCCAGAGCCUACCACAUGAGUCUCUUUUCACCAAAGGACUGUCAGCUUUCUCUCUGGUGAUUUUAGCUUGCUGAGAUCGUGGUCAUGAGGAGAGAGUGCUAAAAAAUCUUAGCCUCAAGAGGAAAAAGAAGAUCUUCAAAAAGUUAAACAUGAAAUUACCACAUGACCCAGCAAUUCUACUUACAAGCCCUUUUCCUCUAGUGGCAAGCGGAAUGCUGGCAGUUUCAGGGAUACAGCCUACUUUCUCUGCUACCCCAAAGAAGACAGAUGUCCCUCCAGCAAAAUCUAAAACAAGCUCGAAUUUGCUCUGACUGGGCCAUGUGCUCAUUCUGGACCAAUCAGGAAGUCAGAGGAUAGUCAUGAGCCCCAGAGAAUCAGAAAGUAGAUCCUGGACACAUAAGUGGAUGGAAAGGAAAGCCUAUCUCCAACUUCCCCACUCAAGUAUUACUAAAAGAACGGAACAGUUCAGUAUUUCUCCCUGCACCAAGAUAAUGGACAAGCCCUCCUAUAUAGAACUCAAAUAAGAAUGGAUCUGUAAAAAGAGAGGAGGGGCAUAAUAACAGUUUCCACCUUGUAUGGUUUUAAUGAAGAUCAAAUGAUACAAUACAUACAAAAGCAAAGAUACUUAAAAGCAUUAUGGAAACACAGUUUUUUCUUGUCAUCACUCAUUUGGCUUCUCUAAUGAAUUAGUUUGUUUUGCUGCUUUUGCUCCAAGUAAACUGAAAAAUCCCGGAACGGUAGUUAGAUUGUGAAUUGUGCUGCUUUGUUGCUCUUUGUUUUCUGUGAGCCUUUAGCACUGUGCUUUAUAUUAUAGGUUCACAGUUUGUAUUUGCUGACUUAUCCUAGUAAAUCUUUAAAUGUUUUUGAUGGCAAAAUAUCUUGGAACCUAAAUAAAUUAGAGAAAUGUGAAGGAAAACUUUGACUUCAGCUGUCACUCCUAUGAUACUGAGUCAUAUUAUAAAAUGUUCAUGGCAAGUCUCUUUGACAUUGUCAAGGAAAUAAACAUAGUGUUAGCAUAAAAUCAUUUCUGGUUUAUGAAGAAUGAUACCUCAUUAUAAAAUCCAUUUCUAAGUUACUAAGUAAGCUUGUUUUAAAUUUCUUUCUUGAAAGGGUCUAAGAGACAUCAUUUGCUGGCAAAGUACAAGUUUAUAAACAGUUUUAUCUCAUCUCGUUGCAUUAAUGACAAGGAGUUAGAAGGUAAUUUUUACAGUUUAACUCAAAGCAUUUAAAAAUUUAAUCAGAAGUCAAUUUUUAAUUUUCAAUGAGAAUAAGACAAAAAUAGACAUGGGUUCAUAAUUCUAAGCCCAAGGUCUUCUAUAGAAUUAAUGAUGAGUGAUUUGAUUUUGAAUGCAUUUAGACUACCAAUUUAGCUUUGUACUAAUAAGUAGGCUACAUUAAAAACACAUUCUAAUUGUGUCUGGGGGAGAAGGAUGAUAUAACUGCUAUUUUUUCUUUCGGAGUGAUGGAUUCUCAGGCUGUGAUAAACAUGGCUAAUGAAACUACCAUGAAGAAAGUAUAAGAACAUAAUGAAAUACAACACAGAAGCUUUGUGCUAAAUCGGUUUUUAGGUGAGAAGCACAACAAUAAUGAAUGAAGAGGUUAUGGAGAGGUUAUAAAAGAGGUUAUAUAAAGAGGUUAAAAAUGUUAUGAAGAGGUUAUAAAAAUAUGACAGGAAAAUAUAUGAAAGAAGGAAUUUCCUAAGUAUGUUCUUCAACUGAAAUCUACUUUUGUCGAUUAAUUGACUAUAUCAACUGGCCUACAUGAAUAACAUUUUUAUUGGUACUUUUUCAUUUAUUAUAUUAUUAUUUAUAUAAGAUGUGAUUAAUAUGUGUUAUGAACUAUGCUGUGAAAGAGUAAUAUGAAGGAAAAUUAGAGUUUUUGAGGAGAUACACAUAAUUAAAGACAGAUAUAAGCAAAUAUUUAUAAUAAAAUAAGAGAGAUUUGCACCAGGUGCUAUGAGAGAAUGGAGGAAAAAGCACCUCCCCAUCCCCUACCCCUGAGACAACUGGAAAGUCUUCACACACAAGAAACCUUACAAAAUUAAUAGGAAAUUUCCAAAGAGUGAAAUGAAAUUAGAGAGUGAGUCAGAGACACCAGAAAAAAUUGAGAUAUAGGAUGCGAUAAUAGGCAGUUUGAAUUCUUACAUUCUAUGUUACUAAUUUGAAGAUGAUGCCAUAGUGAGUGAAAAUUUAUGGAAUGUUUAUAAAUAGAGAAACAAUACAAUUACACUUUUAAAGUCACUCUGUGGUUUGUGUGGAGUAAGCUUAGAAUGGAGAGAUGAUGUGGAUUGAAUGGAAAUAGUGGCAACUCAGGGAAUGGAUCAAUGAUAUACGUCAUAGCAUGCUAGGUGUUGUAACACAUAUAUCCAAUGAUAUUUUAUUUCUUGUGGCUAUCCCACAAGGGGGACUUUGGAAGUAGAGGAUGCUUCCAUCUUGUGCUACCACUAUCUUGAAUGCACAAUCUCAGACCAUAGCUGAAAAGCAAGAGAGAGCUCCAUGACACUCUCAGAAGAGAUAUUAACAGCCAGGUCUGGAAGUGGUGUUUGUCAUUUUCUCCCACUUUCCCUUAGACAGAACUGUUCAUGUGAAAGUUAACUGCAAAAAAGGCUUGCAAAUAGAAUUUUCCUGUGUGCCAAGGAAAAGGAAACAUAUUUGAUGAAUAUUUAACCAUUUUCUAACACAGUCUACUCUUGAUUAUUAAAUAUAAAAUUUACUUGUCCCUUUUCACAUACAAUAUACAUUCUCAUUUCCUCCCCAAAGGGGGAACACCAAGUUCUGUGGACUGACUGCAAGUUCAAAGAGCUAUGCUUUUUGUUAAGGUGCAGUCCUGUCCAAUAGUCCACUUAUGAUUUCUUUUGUAUUGGGAACCUAUGAACUAAAGAAACAAGUUCUUUGGCUACCUUCAGACACACACACACGCGCGCGCGCGCACGCGCGUGCGCGCACUGCCCAAUAGUGGAACAUAGAAAGAACAAAAUUUCCCACUCAGAAAGGGGAAGAACAGAAAACACACAGUGGACACUUGCCCACUGCAAUUCCGAAAAUCCGCUGGGAAGACUUUGUGAAGGUCCCUUACCCUGAGCAUGUGGGGGUCGGGGUUACCUGGAUUAGGCUCUAAUUCAUCUCCCAAGAAGGAAUUAUUUUAUCCGUUUUCUCCAUGGCCCCUUGAUCCACCCAUUUGGAGACUCCUACUAGUCCAUUAUUUUCCUUGGCUACAUCUGAAGUGAGUGUUAGAGAGAAUACCUUUGAGACUAUACAGCCUUCAAAGUCUGCCUCAUGCUGGUAGAAAAUGGAGGGUUCAAGGUCUUAUUAUUAUUCAUUUGUUGGUUUUAAGUCUGAAGCAGUCAAAGCCU